CAAGUAACACGUCAUUGUAUUGAUCUGUUUUUAGAUAGAAUGUCUCUCAAAACACAGACUUACCUUUCUUUUUUUAUUUGAAGAUUUGACCGAUAUGCUCACCCCUCCAGCUCACAUACCUAGAAUAAUCUUCUAGAACGUAAUUGAAAAAACGCAACUUGUGCAGAGUUCCACAAACCAUUAAGCUAAGAAUAGAAUCAAAGAUAGUUUUAAUUAAUAUUAAAGUGUACUUGCACAUAGAAUAUAUACAUACGAAGAUAACAUAAUUAAGCACUUAAUGGAUUACCAAAUAAUUGGAACUUGCUUAUAAC
Non-coding RNA from Pelobates cultripes (western spadefoot toad), 311 nucleotides. NCBI's taxonomy places the organism in Eukaryota, Metazoa, Chordata, Amphibia, Anura, Pelobatidae. The record is from the annotation of a GenBank genome assembly.